GCUGGGCGCAGUGGGGCAUGCCUGUAAUCCCAGCAACUCAGGAGGCUGAGGCAGGAAGAUCACAAGUUCAAAGCCAGUCUCAGCAACUUAGAGAGGCCCUGUCUCAA
Molecule: small RNA, 107 nt
Filed under: Marmota monax (woodchuck)
Lineage: Eukaryota; Metazoa; Chordata; Mammalia; Rodentia; Sciuridae
Source: RNAcentral